UACGUAGGGUGCAAGCGUUACUCGGAAUUACUGGGCGUAAAGCGUGCGUAGGCGGUUUGUUAAGUCCGCUGUGAAAGCCCUGGGCUCAACCUGGGAAUUGCAGUGGAUACUGGCGAGCUUGAGUGCAGGAGAGGAACGCAGAAUUCCAGGUGUAGCGGUGAAAUGCGUAGAUAUCUGGAGGAACACCGGUGGCGAAGGCGGCUUUCUGGACGAUAACUGACGCUGAGACGCGAAAGCGUGGGGAGCAAACAGG
Molecule: ribosomal RNA, 253 nt
Filed under: uncultured bacterium
Lineage: Bacteria
Description: partial 16S ribosomal RNA
Rfam family: Bacterial small subunit ribosomal RNA
Source: RNAcentral